Molecule: ribosomal RNA, 253 nt
Filed under: uncultured bacterium
Lineage: Bacteria
Description: partial 16S ribosomal RNA
Rfam family: Bacterial small subunit ribosomal RNA
Source: RNAcentral
UACGAAGGGGGCUAGCGUUGUUCGGAAUCACUGGGCGUAAAGGGCGCGUAGGCGGCUAUUCAAGUCGGGGGUGAAAGCCUGUGGCUCAACCACAGAAUUGCCUUCGAUACUGUUUGGCUUGAGACCGGAAGAGGUAAGUGGAACUGCGAGUGUAGAGGUGAAAUUCGUAGAUAUUCGCAAGAACACCAGUGGCGAAGGCGGCUCACUGGCCCGGUACUGACGCUGAGGUGCGAAAGCGUGGGGAGCAAACAGG